RNAcentral lists this ribosomal RNA (468 nucleotides) under uncultured bacterium. Its description in RNAcentral is "partial 16S ribosomal RNA". It matches the Rfam family "Bacterial small subunit ribosomal RNA", at positions 28 to 507 of the family's 1533-position model. The record is from RNAcentral.
GGCGAACGCUGGCGGCGUGCUUAACACAUGCAAGUCGAACGGAAAGGCCCUGCUUUUGUGGGGUGCUCGAGUGGCGAACGGGUGAGUAACACGUGAGUAACCUGCCCUUGACUUUGGGAUAACUUCAGGAAACUGGGGCUAAUACCGGAUAGGAGCUCCUGCUGCAUGGUGGGGGUUGGAAAGUUUCGGCGGUUGGGGAUGGACUCGCGGCUUAUCAGCUUGUUUGUGGGGUAGUGGCUUACCAAGGCUUUGACGGGUAGCCGGCCUGAGAGGGUGACCGGCCACAUUGGGACUGAGAUACGGCCCAGACUCCUACGGGAGGCAGCAGUGGGGAAUAUUGCACAAUGGGCGGAAGCCUGAUGCAGCAACGCCGCGUGCGGGAUGACGGCCUUCGGGUUGUAAACCGCUUUCGCCUGUGACGAAGCGUGAGUGACGGUAAUGGGUAAAGAAGCACCGGCUAACUACGUG